AACUUUUGACAACGGAUCACUUGGCUCUCGCAUCGAUGAAGAACGCAGCGAAAUGCGAUAAGUAAUGUGAAUUGCAGAAUUCAGUGAAUCAGCGAAUCUUUGAACGCACCUUGCGCCCUUUGGCUAUUCCGAAGGGCAUGCCUGUUUGAGUAUCAUGAACACCUCAACUCUCAUGGUUUGCCAUGAUGAGCUUGGACUUUGGAGGUCUUGCGGGCCUACGGUCGGCUCCUCUCAAAUGAAUCAGCUUGCCAGUGUUUGGUGGCGUCACGGGUGUGAUAACUAUCUACGCUUGUGGUUUUCACCAGGUAACCUUCAGCGAUGGAGGUUCGCUGGAGCUCACAAAUGUCUCUCCUCGGUGAGGACAGCUUUUGAACAUUUGAUCUCAAAUCAGGUAGGACUACCCGCUGAACUUAAGCAUAUCAAUAAGCGGAGGCU
This 435-nucleotide unclassified non-coding RNA is filed under the name uncultured Thelephoraceae. Its description in RNAcentral is "sequence contains ITS2". The stretch from base 1 to 155 matches the Rfam family "5.8S ribosomal RNA". Lineage: Eukaryota; Fungi; Basidiomycota; Agaricomycetes; Thelephorales; Thelephoraceae. The record is from RNAcentral.